GACUUUUCUGGCUAAAACUGCAAUACUUGGCUUAAUCCAUUUACUUGGGCUGAAACUUUACAUGCAAUCUAUGAUGUCAUCUUUUUUGCUACUUUGUCUUUUACAGGGCAGAAGCUAUAAAGAAAGCAAAUGGUGUUCUUUUUUCCGAUGAGAAGCUGUGUAAAUAGCUUGUUCAAUUGCUUAUGGCUCUUGACUACUUACAUGUGAAUCAUAUUCUUCAUCGAGAUGUUAAGUCUUGUUCUUGCGGUGUUCAAAUAUAUUCUUGG
This is a non-coding RNA of Camellia sinensis, 266 nucleotides long. The record is from RefSeq and is a predicted model, not a curated record. NCBI's taxonomy places the organism in Eukaryota, Viridiplantae, Streptophyta, Magnoliopsida, Ericales, Theaceae.